UUUCGAAUCAUUCACAAUGGGCGCAAGCCUGAUGGUGCGACGCCGCGUGAGGGAUGAAGGUCUUCGGAUUGUAAACCUCUGUCACUGGGGAGGAAACCCUGUAUGUUAACAGUAUACAGGCUGACUUAACCCGGAGAGGAAGCAGUGGCUAACUCUGUGCCAGCAGCCGCGGUAAUACAGAGACUGCAAGCGUUAUUCGGAUUCACUGGGCGUAAAGGGUGCGCAGGCGGCCGUGUGUGUGAGGUGUGAAAGCCCGGGGCUUAACCCCGGAAAUGCGCCUCAAACUACACGGCUAGAGCAUUGGAGAGGGUAGCGGAAUUCAUGGUGUAGCAGUGAAAUGCGUAGAUAUCAUGAGGAACACCAGAGGCGAAGGCGGCUACCUGGACAAUUGCUGACGCUCAGGCACGAAAGCGUGGGGAGCAAAAGGGAUUAGAUACCCCUGUAGUCCACGCCCUAAACGGUGCGCA
Molecule: ribosomal RNA, 467 nt
Filed under: uncultured Verrucomicrobiota bacterium
Lineage: Bacteria; Pseudomonadati; Verrucomicrobiota
Description: bacterial SSU rRNA
Rfam family: Bacterial small subunit ribosomal RNA
Source: RNAcentral